RNAcentral lists this ribosomal RNA (464 nucleotides) under uncultured bacterium. RNAcentral's name for it is "partial 16S ribosomal RNA". It matches the Rfam family "Bacterial small subunit ribosomal RNA", at positions 339 to 795 of the family's 1533-position model. The record is from RNAcentral.
CUACGGGUGGCUGCAGUGGGGAAUAUUGCACAAUGGGCGCAAGCCUGAUGCAGCCAUGCCGCGUGUAUGAAGAAGGCCUUCGGGUUGUAAAGUACUUUCAGCGGGGAGGAAGGGAGUAAAGUUAAUACCUUUGCUCAUUGAUGUUACCCGCAGAAGAAGCACCGGCUAACUCCGUGCCAGCAGCCGCGGUAAUACGGAGGGUGCAAGCGUUAAUCGGAAUUACUGGGCGUAAAGCGCACGCAGGCGGUUUGUUAAGUCAGAUGUGAAAUCCCCGGGCUCAACCUGGGAACUGCAUCUGAUACUGGCAAGCUUGGGUCUCGUAGAGGGGGGUAGAAUUCCAGGUGUAGCGGUGAAAUGCGUAGAGAUCUGGAGGAAUACCGGUGGCGAAGGCGGCCCCCUGGACGAAGACUGACGCUCAGGUGCGAAAGCGUGGGGAGCAAACAGGAUUAGAUACCCUUGUAGUC